CGCAUACAUAAUGACAAAAAAUACGCUUAUGUAAGAGGAACAGUUGGCCGAGUGGCUGGAGCCUUGUGCCUUGUGCCUUGUGCUACGGUGCCGCACGCCAUCUGUUCAAUACCCGGCGGAUUACUUGCUGUAAUUAGCAAACACAGUCAAUUAAGACAGGGAAAGUCCAUCUUGAUUAGCUUUGCUUAGAGAGAUUUCCUGGGCAAGGAAGAAGAGUGCGUAGUGAGAAUAACGACAUAUGGUGCAUUAUUUAAACUGAUAAAAUACGCAUACAUAAUGACAAAAAAUACGCUUAUCUAAGAGGAACAGUUGGCCGAGUGGCUGGAGCCUUGUGCCUUGUGCCUUGUGCUACGGUGCCGCACGCCAUCUGUUCAAUACCCGGGUAAGACUUUUUUUAUUUUUUAUUUUUAACGAAGUUUUAUGAAGUAGGAAAAUAUUAUAUACAAGAUUUAGUAAGUUUAAUUUAAAAAAUUUCUAUUCUUAACGCAAUUUUUUUUGUGAGAGUUUUAACAGAUCCAUUUAAGUGAUUUUACUAUUGUUUGUUUUUCUCAUUAUUUAGCGGAUUACUUGCUGUAAUUAGCAAACACAGUCAAUUAAGACAGGGCAAGUCCAUCUUGAUUAGCUUUGCUUAGAGAGAUUUCCUGGGCAAGGAAGAAGAGUGCGUAGUGAGAAUAACCACAUAUGGUGCAUUAUUUAAACUGAUAAAAUACGCAUACAUAAUGACAAAAAAAACGCUUAUCUAAGAGGAACAGUUGGCCGAGUGGCUGGAGCCUUGUGCCUUGUGCCUUGUGCUACGGUGCCGCACGCCAUCUGUUCAAUACCCGGCGGAUUACUUGCUGUAAUUAGCAAACACAGUCAAUUAAGACAGGGCAAGUCCAUCUUGAUUAGCUUUGCUUAGAGAGAUUUCCUGGGCAAGGAAGAAGAGUGCGUAGUGAGAAUAACCACAUAUGGUGCAUUAUUUAAACUGAUAAAAUACGCAUACAUAAUGACAAAAAAAACGCUUAUCUAAGAGGAACAGUUGGCCGAGUGGCUGGAGCCUUGUGCCUUGUGCCUUGUGCUACGGUGCCGCACGCCAUCUGUUCAAUACCCGGCGGAUUACUUGCUGUAAUUAGCACACACAGUCAAUUAAGACAGGGCAAGUCCAUCUUGAUUAGCUUUGCUUAGAGAGAUUUCCUGGGCAAGGAAGAAGAGUGCGUUGUGAGAAUAACGACAUAUGGUGCAUUAUUUAAACUGAUAAAAUACGCAUACAUAAUGACAAAAAAAACGCUUAUGUAAGAGGAACAGUUGGCCGAGUGGCUGGAGCCUUGUGCCUUGUGCCUUGUGCUACGGUGCCGCACGCCAUCUGUUCAAUACCCGGCGGAUUACUUGCUGUAAUUAGCAAACACAGUCAAUUAAGACAGGGCAAGUCCAUCUUGAUUAGCUUUGCUUAGAGAGAUUUCCUGGGCAAGGAAGAAGAGUGCGUAGUGAGAAUAACCACAUAUGGUGCAUUAUUUAAACUGAUAAAAUACGCAUACAUAAUGACAAAAAAAACGCUUAUCUAAGAGGAACAGUUGGCCGAGUGGCUGGAGCCUUGUGCCUUGUGCCUUGUGCUACGGUGCCGCACGCCAUCUGUUCAAUACCCGGCGGAUUACUUGCUGUAAUUAGCACACACAGUCAAUUAAGACAGGGCAAGUCCAUCUUGAUUAGCUUUGCUUAGAGAGAUUUCCUGGGCAAGGAAGAAGAGUGCGUAGUGAGAAUAACCACAUAUGGUGCAUUAUUUAAACUGAUAAAAUUCGCAUACAUAAUGACAAAAAAACGCUUAUCUAAGAGGAACAGUUGGCCGAGUGGCUGGAGCCUUGUGCCUUGUGCCUUGUGCUACGGUGCCGCACGCCAUCUGUUCAAUACCCGGCGGAUUACUUGCUGUAAUUAGCAAACACAGUCAAUUAAGACAGGGAAAGUCCAUCUUGAUUAGCUUUGCUUAGAGAGAUUUCCUGGGCAAGGAAGAAGAGUGCGUAGUGAGAAUAACGACAUAUGGUGCAUUAUUUAAACUGAUAAAAUACGCAUACAUAAUGACAAAAAAUACGCUUAUGUAAGAGGAACAGUUGGCCGAGUGGCUGGAGCCUUGUGCCUUGUGCCUUGUGCUACGGUGCCGCACGCCAUCUGUUCAAUACCCGGGUAAGACUUUUUUUAUUUUUAAUUUUUAAGGAAGUUUUAUGAAGUAGGAAAAUAUUAUAUACAAGAUUUAGUAAGUUUAAUUUAAAAAAUUUCUAUUCUUAACGCAAUUUUUUUUGUGAGAGUUUUAACAGAUCCAUUUAAGUGAUUUUACUAUUGUUUGUUUUUCUCAUUAUUUAGCGGAUUACUUGCUGUAAUUAGCAAACACAGUCAAUUAAGACAGGGCAAGUCCAUCUUGAUUAGCUUUGCUUAGAGAGAUUUCCUGGGCAAGGAAGAAGAGUGCGUAGUGAGAAUAACCACAUAUGGUGCAUUAUUUAAACUGAUAAAAUACGCAUACAUAAUGACAAAAAAAACGCUUAUCUAAGAGGAACAGUUGGCCGAGUGGCUGGAGCCUUGUGCCUUGUGCCUUGUGCUACGGUGCCGCACGCCAUCUGUUCAAUACCCGGCGGAUUACUUGCUGUAAUUAGCACACACAGUCAAUUAAGACAGGGCAAGUCCAUCUUGAUUAGCUUUGCUUAGAGAGAUUUCCUGGGCAAGGAAGAAGAGUGCGUAGUGAGAAUAACCAUAUAUGGUGCAUUAUUUAAACUGAUAAAAUACGCAUACAUAAUGACAAAAAAAACGCUUAUCUAAGAGGAACAGUUGGCCGAGUGGCUGGAGCCUUGUGCCUUGUGCCUUGUGCUACGGUGCCGCACGCCAUCUGUUCAAUACCCGGGUAAGACUUUUUUUAUUUUUUAUUUUUAACGAAGUUUUAUGAAGUAGGAAAAUACUAUAUACAAGAUUUAGUAAGUUUAAUUUAAAAAAUUUCUAUUCUAAACGCAAUUUUUUUUGUGAGAGUUUUAACAGAUCCA
This 2999-nucleotide long non-coding RNA is filed under the name Daphnia pulex (common water flea). Its description in RNAcentral is "uncharacterized LOC124201076, transcript variant X4". The record is from RNAcentral. Lineage: Eukaryota; Metazoa; Arthropoda; Branchiopoda; Diplostraca; Daphniidae.